GGGAAUAUGGCUCAGUUGGUAGAGCAAAUGACUGUUAAUCAUUGGGUCACAGGUUCGAUCCCUGUUGUUUCCACCA
This 76-nucleotide transfer RNA is filed under the name Peptostreptococcaceae bacterium. RNAcentral describes it as "tRNA-Asn". It matches the Rfam family "tRNA". From Rfam's summary of the family: Transfer RNA (tRNA) molecules are approximately 80 nucleotides in length. Their secondary structure includes four short double-helical elements and three loops (D, anti-codon, and T loops). Lineage: Bacteria; Bacillati; Bacillota; Clostridia; Peptostreptococcales; Peptostreptococcaceae. The record is from RNAcentral.